This 185-nucleotide ribosomal RNA is filed under the name uncultured bacterium. RNAcentral's name for it is "partial 16S ribosomal RNA". It matches the Rfam family "Bacterial small subunit ribosomal RNA", at positions 1316 to 1500 of the family's 1533-position model. The record is from RNAcentral.
CCACAUGAAGUUGGAGUUGCUAGUAAUCGCGGAUCAGCAUGCCGCGGUGAAUACGUUCCCGGGCCUUGUACACACCGCCCGUCACACCAUGGGAGUUGGGAGCGCCCGAAGCCGGUGAGGUAACCGCAAGGAGCCAGCCGUCGAAGGUGAGACCAAUGACUGGGGUGAAGUCGUAACAAGGUACC